This 911-nucleotide ribosomal RNA is filed under the name Candidatus Moranbacteria bacterium CG_4_9_14_3_um_filter_40_7. RNAcentral describes it as "bacterial LSU rRNA". It matches the Rfam family "Bacterial large subunit ribosomal RNA", at positions 2485 to 2913 of the family's 2925-position model. The record is from RNAcentral. Lineage: Bacteria; Candidatus Moraniibacteriota.
AUCCCUCCCAAGAGUCCACAUCGACGGAGGGGUUUGGCACCUCGAUGUCGGCCCAUCGCAUCCUGGGGGUGGAGAAGCUCCCAAGGGUUUGGCUGUUCGCCAAUUAAAGCGGUACGCGAGCUGGGUUCAAACCGUAAAACAGCUUUUAGCUAUUAGCUUAUAGCUUUUAGGUAAAGGAAAUUUUACAGUUUGAAUCCGAGGUAAAGACAUCACAAGCGGCGGCUUUUAGUAGCAAUAUUAAAAGUGAAGCUAACUUAUAUCGGUAAAAUCCCGAAUUCUCGGGACAAUACCGAGGGAAUGGUUCGACUUUGCUCACCAUGAGCGAUAAGAAUCGACCCGUAGAGACUAAACGUUAGCCUUCCUGAAUUUUAGGGAAGAAUUUAUAGUCCAUACACGCAGUAAUGCGUGAACCAGUAUGCGUGAGACAGGUUGGUCUCCUAUCUGCUGUGGGCGUUUAUUGCUUGAGAGGAGUCUUUUUUAGUACGAGAGGACCGAAAAGAACGAACCUCUGGUGUACCAGUUGCAUCGCCAGAUGCACAGCUGGGUAGCUAAGUUCGGACUGGAUAAUCGCUGAAAGCAUAUAAGCGAGAAGCCAUCCUCAAGAUUAGGCAAUGCCAAUGCGUAGCAUUGGAAUAACCAAUGACCAAGUACCAAUGACCAAUAAAUUUCCAAUGACCGAAUGAACAAUUUUUAAAUUAAAAGUUUGAUUAUUGGAGUUUGGGAUUUGAGAUUUUUUUGGAAUUUGGAAUUUGGAAUUUGGAAAUUCCACUGCUAUGCAGUGGCCGAUUUCCUGGAAGAUUACCAGGUCGCCGCGAGGCGAACCUCGCCAAAGCCGCAAGGCGGAGGCGGGUUGAUAGGUCUCAGGUGUAAGUCCGGCAACGGAUUAAGCCGAGAGAUACUAAUAAAUUGAA